Molecule: ribosomal RNA, 1118 nt
Filed under: uncultured organism
Description: bacterial SSU rRNA
Rfam family: Bacterial small subunit ribosomal RNA
Source: RNAcentral
GUAUUGGGUGGAAAGUGGCGAACGGGUGAGUAACACGUUGGUGACCUGUCCCGAGGAGGGGGAUAACCGUGGGAAACCAUGGCUAAUACCCCGGAUGUCUAGGUUGUUAGAGAGCCUAGGCCAAAGCUCCGGCGCCUUGGGAGGGGCCUGCGGGCUAUCAGCUUGUUGGUGGGGUAACGGCCUACCAAGGCUAAGACGGCUAAGGGGCGUGAGAGCGCGACCCCCCACAAUGGAACUGAGACACGGUCCAUACUCCUACGGGAGGCAGCAGUGAGGAAUAUUGCGCAAUGGGGGCAACCCUGACGCAGCAACGCCGCGUGGACGAUGAAGGCCUUCGGGUUGUAAAGUCCUUUUUUGGGGGAUGAUAAUGACGGUACCCCAAGAAUAAGUCCCGGCUAACUACGUGCCAGCAGCCGCGGUAAAACGUAGGGGGCGAGCGUUAUCCGGAUUUACUGGGCGUAAAGCGCACGUAGGCGGCGCUGUAAGUUGGACGUGAAAGCUCUCGGCUUAACUGGGAGAGGUCGUUCAAUACUGCGGUGCUCGAGGUUGGGAGAGGAGAGUGGAAUUCCCGGUGUAGUGGUGGAAUGCGUAGAUAUCGGGAGGAACACCAGUGGCGAAGGCGACUCUCUGGUCCACACCUGACGCUGAGGUGCGAAAGCGUGGGGAGCGAACGGGAUUAGAUACCCCGGUAGUCCACGCCGUAAACGAUGGAUACUAGGUGUAGGAGGUCAUUUACCCCUUCUGUGCCGUAGCUAACGCGUUAAGUAUCCCGCCUGGGGACUACGAUCGCAAGGUUAAAACUCAAAGGAAUUGACGGGGGCCCGCACAAGCAGCGGAGCGUGUGGUUUAAUUCGAUGAUACGCGAAGAACCUUACCUGGGUUUGACAUGUUGGUAGUAGUGAAGCGAAAGCGGAACGACCCUUCGGGGAGCCAUCACAGGUGCUGCAUGGCUGUCGUCAGCUCGUGUCGUGAGAUGUUGGGUUAAGUCCCGCAACGAGCGCAACCCUCGUCGUUAGUUACAAGUGUCUAACGAGACUGUCGGUAUCAAACCGGAGGAAGGUGGGGAUGACGUCAAGUCAGCAUGGUCUUUUAUAUCCAGGGCUACACACACGCUACAA